AUAAAUAACCCACAAAUCAAAUGUCCCAUUUAUAUAGCUUCUGUUUAGGGUUUCUGAAUUGCUUUGGAUAUAUUUCUUCUUCAUCUGAUCACAAAGCAGUUCCUGAUAAUGGCUCCACAACUACACCAAUUGUUGUUCCUCACUUCCCUACCAAAUCUCAACCUUUGAAAUUAUAGUAGCAUAGCAUUUUUAAUUUUCUUGUGCAUGCUACCUAGUUAUGGAGUAAUUUUCAAUAUACACCCCUUCUUUAUAUAUAUAUAUAUAUAGGGUAGUGUUAAAAUCCUAUAUACCACUUAGAUUUAAGUUCCGUUUUUAUUGGGAUCGUUGGAUCUUGAGUAUGAACGAUCUAGAUUUAAUUCUUAUAGUAGCAUUCCGUAGUUCAUUAUUUAGUUUAUUUCGUGCAUUAUGAGGGUGAAUUAGUAAUUAUAUGUGCUCAAAUCUGGAGAAACCGAGGAGUCGAGAUUUUAGAGGGAUACACCCACUACUUUCCAUGUACUCCACGCCUCAUUCAUCAUCAUCCUUAAUUACUCCAGCUUCUCUCUCCAUUUUUGACUUCUCAAAUUCCAGCCAAACCCUAGCCGCCUCCACCACCGUUUUCGCCGAUACAAGCUUAAAUUCAUCCGCUGUUACCUUCGAUUUUCAGUCAUCCGUUCUGUUCUGAACAAUACUCCACCGCCACCAUCACCGUUUUCGCCAAUAAGAAGAGUUCUUAAAAUGACAAAAAGAGGACGACCAACAAAUUCACAACAAUCCCAGCAAGAGGAGAUGCAAUUGUGUAUGAGGACAACUAAAAACAAACGGUGCAGAGUGAGUUCCUUUCGUUGGAACUGUUCAAAGCUGUCAGCCCGGUCAUUAUAGACACUUGGUGCUCUUACUUGAAUAACAUGGAGAAGCUGAAGGCACCAGAUAGUAGUUGUCAUUAUUUUGAUUGUUGUAGGAAAUACGAACUAUCAACGGGCUGAUGAGUACUUCAAUGAGUUAACCGCACAGUUAUUAGAGUAAUUCAGUGUUAUAGAAUCCAAUAACGAACAAAUAUUCGGUGCAUGUAUCAGUUUAAACGUUGUUAUUA
This is a long non-coding RNA of Salvia splendens (bonfire salvia), 1069 nucleotides long. RefSeq lists it as uncharacterized. The record is from RefSeq and is a predicted model, not a curated record. NCBI's taxonomy places the organism in Eukaryota, Viridiplantae, Streptophyta, Magnoliopsida, Lamiales, Lamiaceae. The transcript is spliced from 3 exons.